Non-coding RNA from Meleagris gallopavo (turkey), 603 nucleotides. NCBI's taxonomy places the organism in Eukaryota, Metazoa, Chordata, Aves, Galliformes, Phasianidae. The record is from RefSeq and is a predicted model, not a curated record.
GGGACGGGACGAGGGCUAUUAGCGGCCGUAUUAAUAUCGCCGUUAUUGCUAUGCGAGGCUCUGCCGCUGUCGCCACGGGAGAUUUAUGCCUCUCCCCGCUCCCACACGCUGCCGAAAGGAGAAACUCGCCAAGAUGCGUCCUGGGGAAAGUCCGUGACGAGGAGGGGCCGAAGAGUGGGAGGAAGGCAGGGCAAAGAAUUGAGGUGUCUGCACUUUUUUUUUUUUUAAAGUGCUACUUUUGUUUCGCAUCGCAAUUAUCUCCUCUCCUUUAAUUCUGACGCUCGCUCCUUUGGGUUAAAAGUGCUGACGGGGGGGAUUUGCGUUUAGCAGAGCCAGACAAGCAGUGACCACAAAGGCUCUGAGGACUCCGCAGGAAGCUCCCUCGCACCAAAUCAGCAGCAAAUGUUGCAACCCGACCGGGUUUCCCUUCAAAGGCAGCUCAGGAAAUCUCUUCCAUUUAAAACACUCCCUGGAAGUUACGGCCAUAAAUCACAAAAGUUUCAAGACAAGGCGGUAGCGAAAUGGAGAAAGAAAAUAUUCUGCUGUAAUCCGGGGCAGCCGUGUUUGGUGGGGAAAUAGGAAAUAAAGAAAGGUAUAAAGUCA